GAACUUCCAGAGGCCCCGGCCCAAGCCUGCCGUACCGGAAGAUGAGCCCAUCGGCUGAUGAGUGCCGAGUACCUUGUGUGAUUUAUUGACUCCUGCACUGAAAGUGAAAAACAGAACAGCUGUGUGGGGACUCGAAGUACUGUUUCUCCUGCAACAUCUUACAUAGAGGCUGCUCCAUUCUUAGAUGGCCGACUUAUCUUGGGUCCUGGAGUGAAGAUGACAAGGAACA
Tupaia belangeri chinensis (Chinese tree shrew) is the source of this 229-nucleotide long non-coding RNA. RefSeq lists it as uncharacterized. The transcript has 3 exons. The record is from RefSeq and is a predicted model, not a curated record. Lineage: Eukaryota; Metazoa; Chordata; Mammalia; Scandentia; Tupaiidae.